This 414-nucleotide ribosomal RNA is filed under the name uncultured bacterium. RNAcentral's name for it is "bacterial SSU rRNA". It matches the Rfam family "Bacterial small subunit ribosomal RNA", at positions 355 to 786 of the family's 1533-position model. The record is from RNAcentral.
UGGGGAAUAUUGCACAAUGGGCGAAAGCCUGAUGCAGCGACGCCGCGUGAGCGAAGAAGUAUUUCGGUAUGUAAAGCUCUAUCAGCAGGGAAGAAAAUGACGGUACCUGACUAAGAAGCCCCGGCUAACUACGUGCCAGCAGCCGCGGUAAUACGUAGGGGGCAAGCGUUAUCCGGAUUUACUGGGUGUAAAGGGAGCGUAGACGGAGAGGCAAGUCUGGAGUGAAAGCCCGGGGCUCAACCCCGGGACUGCUUUGGAAACUGUUUAUCUAGAGUGCCGGAGGGGUAAGUGGAAUUCCUAGUGUAGCGGUGAAAUGCGUAGAUAUUAGGAGGAACACCAGUGGCGAAGGCGGCUUACUGGACGGUAACUGACGUUGAGGCUCGAAAGCGUGGGGAGCAAACAGGAUUAGAUACC